GUGUAUCAUUGGCGGAGACAACAACACUGACAACUUCUUUCUUUUUCCUUUCCUUUUUUUUCAUUUAUUUAUUUAUUUGUUUUGGGGAUUUCUAAUGGAAUGCGUUUGUUUCUCUAUUAGAAGAAAAUUUUCUACUAUGAUUUUGUUACCCAUAAUCUUUGUUUUUUGAUUCAGAUGAGUUAAUGUUUGAAUGUUAUUUUUUGAUGUUAAUGGUUGUUGUUGUCCCAUAAUCUGCUAUAUUAAUGUUUGAUGAAG
RNAcentral lists this long non-coding RNA (255 nucleotides) under Lathyrus oleraceus (garden pea). Its description in RNAcentral is "Pisum sativum (pea) long non-coding RNA (PSAT_LNC023471)". Lineage: Eukaryota; Viridiplantae; Streptophyta; Magnoliopsida; Fabales; Fabaceae. The record is from RNAcentral.